Mandrillus leucophaeus (drill) is the source of this 465-nucleotide long non-coding RNA. RefSeq lists it as uncharacterized. NCBI's taxonomy places the organism in Eukaryota, Metazoa, Chordata, Mammalia, Primates, Cercopithecidae. The transcript is spliced from 2 exons. The record is from RefSeq and is a predicted model, not a curated record.
CCUUAUUGCCUGCAAAGCUGCCUGAAAAAGUAGUUUCUCAAGAAACAUUAGAGUAAUAAAUGAAUGACUGAAAUGGUGUGUAAGCCAUAACCAUCUUAGAAACAGCUGUGAAAUCAAGCAUGCGGUCAGGGAGAUGUGGCUCCUCUCCACUGCACAGUGUCUAUAUCACUGAUCAGGUGGAUAGAUAGUCCCAGAAGGAGGCCCUCACCAACCCAUUUCCCCAGACAUAGUCAGAACUGGGGUCAGCUGCACAGAUGGGAACCGCAGGAAGAAGAAGACCCUUAACAAGGACCAGGAAAGUGGGGUAUGCAUAAAGAAAGGAAGCUGUUCUUGCAAUGUGCCAGUGACCUCAUGCCUGUCCCUGAGGCCAGCAUGACUGCUUGCAGUGUAAGCGACCCAUCUGCCAGGGUGACCUCAGGCCUCAGAGUAACAGCAAGUAAAGCCAUGAACACACUGUUCUCUGGA